Poecilia latipinna (sailfin molly) is the source of this 140-nucleotide long non-coding RNA. RefSeq lists it as uncharacterized. NCBI's taxonomy places the organism in Eukaryota, Metazoa, Chordata, Actinopteri, Cyprinodontiformes, Poeciliidae. The record is from RefSeq and is a predicted model, not a curated record. The transcript has 3 exons.
CAGUCAGUCACUCACUCAGUCAUGGCACUGAUGUCAUCUCCAUGUGGCUGGCAGAGAGUAGUCCAAUCAGUUGCUUUAAAACAAGCCUGGAGGGCCUCUUCUGCUUCCUGUGACCAUUUCCAAACAGCCAUCUUUCUAAC